This is a long non-coding RNA of Sander lucioperca (pikeperch), 147 nucleotides long. RefSeq lists it as uncharacterized. The record is from RefSeq and is a predicted model, not a curated record. NCBI's taxonomy places the organism in Eukaryota, Metazoa, Chordata, Actinopteri, Perciformes, Percidae. The transcript has 3 exons.
AAUUGCAAUAUAUCAGUCACACACCUCUAGAGUAACUAGGGGUUACGUGCCUUGCUCAGGGACACCUUGGUUGAUGUAUCUCAGUGGGAAUCUAACCCUGGUCUCCCACACCAAAGCCAUGCGUCAUAUCCACUGCUCCAUCACCGC